AUUGAACGCUGGCGGCAUGCCUAACAUAUGCAAGUCGCACGCGAAAGGGGGCAACCCUGAGUAGAGUGGCGGACGGGUGGGUAACGCGUAGGAAUCUACCUGGUAGUGGGGGACAACCCGGUGAAAACCGGGCUAAUACCGCAUACGAUCCACGGAUGAAAGUAGGGGACCGCAAGGCCUUGCGCUAUCAGAUGAGCCUGCGUCGGAUUAGCUAGUUGGUGGGGUAAAGGCCCACCAAGGCGACGAUCCGUAGCUGGUUUGAGAGAACGACCAGCCACACUGGGACUGAGACACGGCCCAGACUCCUACGGGAGGCAGCAGUGGGGAAUAUUGGACAAUGGGGGCAACCCUGAUCCAGCAAUGCCGCGUGUGUGAAGAAGGCCUUCGGGUUGUAAAGCACUUUCGGUGGGGACAAACAAGGUGGAGCUAACAUCUCCGCCUCUGAUGGUACCCAAAGAAGAAGCACCGGCUAACUCUGUGCCAGCAGCCGCCGCAG
Molecule: ribosomal RNA, 496 nt
Filed under: uncultured bacterium
Lineage: Bacteria
Description: partial 16S ribosomal RNA
Rfam family: Bacterial small subunit ribosomal RNA
Source: RNAcentral